AUUGAACGCUGGCGGCAGGCCUAACACAUGCAAGUCGAGCGGAUGAAGGGAGCUUGCUCCUGGAUUCAGCGGCGGACGGGUGAGUAAUGCCUAGGAAUCUGCCUGGUAGUGGGGGAUAACGUCCGGAAACGGGCGCUAAUACCGCAUACGUCCUGGGGGAGAAAGUGGAGGAUCUUCGGACCUCACGCUAUCAGAUGAGCCUAGGUCGGAUUAGCUAGUUGGUGGGGUAAAGGCCUACCAAGGCGACGAUCCGUAACUGGUCUGAGAGGAUGAUCAGUCACACUGGAACUGAGACACGGUCCAGACUCCUACGGGAGGCAGCAGUGGGGAAUAUUGGACAAUGGGCGAAAGCCUGAUCCAGCCAUGCCGCGUGUGUGAAGAAGGUCUUCGGAUUGUAAAGCACUUUAAGUCGGGAGGAAGGGCAGUAAGUUAAUACCUUGCUGUUUUGACGUUACCAACAGAAUAAGCACCGGCUAACUUCGUG
This 484-nucleotide ribosomal RNA is filed under the name uncultured bacterium. Its description in RNAcentral is "partial 16S ribosomal RNA". It matches the Rfam family "Bacterial small subunit ribosomal RNA", at positions 30 to 507 of the family's 1533-position model. The record is from RNAcentral.